Molecule: ribosomal RNA, 186 nt
Filed under: uncultured bacterium
Lineage: Bacteria
Description: partial 16S ribosomal RNA
Rfam family: Bacterial small subunit ribosomal RNA
Source: RNAcentral
ACUACACGAAGCCGGAAUCGCUAGUAAUCGCGGAUCAGAAUGCCGCGGUGAAUACGUUCCCGGGUCUUGUACACACCGCCCGUCACACCAUGGGAGUCGGAAAUGCCCGAAGUCAGUGACCCAACCGGAAGGAAGGAGCUGCCGAAGGUGGAGCCGGUAACUGGGGUGAAGUCGUAACAAGGUAUC